AAGUGAUAAUAUUUUAAAUCUCGUUGCUACUGCUACAUUCAGCUAACUUCUCUAAACAUAGUAAAGGCAUUUUCUGGAAACCUCCAAACGCAACCGCAAGCUUCGUCGUACCUCCUUCACUCCGCCAUAAGCUUCGAAUUGUGCCGCCAUUGCCAUUGUCUGUCUUAGUUGCGACAGCCAGCUGCCUCCGACCGUUGAAAAGGCCCGUUGAAGGAAAUGCAACAAUGAAACAGGAUUUAAGAAGCUGACUUCACAUAUUGGAAUAUAUUAAAGCCCUGCCUCUAAGUACUUCAAUGCAUUUUCUUUUAAUUGUGGCAUAAGCUACAAUGUUUUUAUACGCUUGUCUAAUUUCACUAUAUAUGUAUUGUAAAUCAAUUGUUCAUUUGAUAAUUACAAUGGUAUUUGUGACAUGAAUGAGGAUAAAAUAGGUAUUCCCUUU
Glycine soja is the source of this 439-nucleotide long non-coding RNA. RefSeq lists it as uncharacterized. The record is from RefSeq and is a predicted model, not a curated record. NCBI's taxonomy places the organism in Eukaryota, Viridiplantae, Streptophyta, Magnoliopsida, Fabales, Fabaceae. The transcript has 2 exons.